AUCAUACACUCGCCUAUUU
This 19-nucleotide small nuclear RNA is filed under the name Arabidopsis thaliana (thale cress). RNAcentral's name for it is "snRNA_06385". The record is from RNAcentral. Lineage: Eukaryota; Viridiplantae; Streptophyta; Magnoliopsida; Brassicales; Brassicaceae.